AACGAACGCUGGCGGCAUGCCUAACACAUGCAAGUCGAACGAGACCUCCGGGACUAGUUGCGCAUGGGUGCGGAACGCGGGGGAAGCUGCCCGUAGGUUCGGAAUAACUCCCUUAAAGGGGUGCUAAUACAGGAUAAUGUAUUCUGACAAAAGAUUUAUCGCCUUUGGAUGGGCAGGGGUUGGAUUAGCUAGUUGGGGGGGUAAAAGCCCACGAAGGAGUCGAUCCGUAGCUGGUCUGAGGGGAAGAUCGGCCACACUGGAACUGAGACACGGUCCAGACUCCUACGGGAGGCAGCAGUGGGGAAUAUUGGACAAUGGGCGCAAGCCUGAUCCAGCCAUACCGCGUGGGUGAAGAAGGCCUUCGGGUUGUAAAGCCCUUUUGUUGGGAAAGAAAAGCAGCAGGUUAAUACCCCGCUGUUCUGACGGUACCCAAAGAAUAAGCACCGGCUAACUUCGUG
This 458-nucleotide ribosomal RNA is filed under the name uncultured bacterium. RNAcentral describes it as "partial 16S ribosomal RNA". It matches the Rfam family "Bacterial small subunit ribosomal RNA", at positions 29 to 507 of the family's 1533-position model. The record is from RNAcentral.